Molecule: long non-coding RNA, 402 nt
Organism: Neolamprologus brichardi
Lineage: Eukaryota; Metazoa; Chordata; Actinopteri; Cichliformes; Cichlidae
Source: RefSeq, a predicted model, not a curated record
UGUACCUGCGUUCAUGGCUGUCUGGGGCAUCCUGGAGCAUCGGCUGCAUCUCCUCCUGGGGUGAGGGGGUGAGAGUGGCUGUGGACUGGUGACUGUAAGACACGGCAGCAGGGGAAGAAGCUGCCCCACGGAUGGGAGGAGUGGGCCCCCUCUCCAUCUCUUCUUCCUCCUCCAGCUCAUCAGGCUGCAGCACUGCUGACACCUUCUCCACCUCUUUGAUAUGCCACUGAAAGAGAGAAAAUGAGUUUGUCGUGAUUCCACCAACGUUAUGAUCGUCGUGAUGUCCUUCUUUUCACCACAGUCAUGUCGCCAUCAUCUUUCCUCCAGCGGACAGUGGGAACUGGAUCGCCACGGGCCUCACACCUGAACUCUACGCUUUGGUCCACUAACACCACCUGGCUA